This 396-nucleotide ribosomal RNA is filed under the name uncultured bacterium. Its description in RNAcentral is "partial 16S ribosomal RNA". It matches the Rfam family "Bacterial small subunit ribosomal RNA", at positions 523 to 918 of the family's 1533-position model. The record is from RNAcentral.
AUACGUAGGUGGCAAGCGUUGUCCGGAAUUAUUGGGCGUAAAGCGCAUGUAGGCGGUUUGGUAAGUCGGUCGUGAAAAUGCGGUGCUUAACGCCGCAUGGCGAUCGAAACUGCCGAACUUGAGUGCAGGAGAGGAAAGGGGAACUCCCAGUGUAGCGGUGAAAUGCGUAGAUAUUGGGAAGAACACCGGUGGCGAAGGCGCCUUUCUGGACUGUGUCUGACGCUCAGAUGCGAAAGCCAGGGUAGCGAACGGGAUUAGAUACCCCGGUAGUCCUGGCCGUAAACGAUGGGUACCAGGUGUGGGAGGUAUCGACUCCUUCCGUGCCGGAGUUAACGCAAUAAGUACCCCGCCUGGGGAGUACGGCCGCAAGGCUUAAACUCAAAGGAAUUGACGGGG